AAGUCGUAACAAGGUUUCCGUAGGUGAACCUGCGGAAGGAUCAUUAUUGAAUGAACUUGGCGUGGUUGUUGCUGGCCCUCUCGGGGGCAUGUGCACACCCGCCAUCUCCAUCUCUCCACCUGUGCACCUCUUGUAGACUGGAAUAGACUUUCCGAGGCAACUCGGUCGGGAGGAAUGCUGUCGCUUUGCGUCGGCUUUCUUUGCACUUCCAAGCCUAUGUUUUUCAUAUACCCGUAGUAUGUAACAGAAUGUAUCAUUUGGGCCUCAGUGCCUAUAAACCAUAUACAACUUUCAGCAACGGAUCUCUUGGCUCUCGCAUCGAUGAAGAACGCAGCGAAAUGCGAUAAGUAAUGUGAAUUGCAGAAUUCAGUGAAUCAUCGAAUCUUUGAACGCACCUUGCGCUCCUUGGUAUUCCGAGGAGCAUGCCUGUUUGAGUGUCAUUUAAUUCUCAACCUUAUUAGCUUUUGCUGAUAAUGGCUUGGAUGUGGGGGUUCUCUUUUGCUGGCUUCUUUUCACAGAGGUCAGCUCCCCUGAAAUGCAUUAGCUGGUGCCCCGCGUGGACUGUCUAUUUGGUGUGAUAAUUAUCAACGCCGUGGAUGUCUGCAAUUGGUUUUGGCACUGCUUCUAACUGUCUGUUCAUUUGGACAACACAUGACAAUUUGACCUCAAAUCAGGUAGGACUACCCGCUGAACUUAAGCAUAUCAAUAAGCGGAGGAAAAGAAACUAACAAGGAUUCCCCUAGUAACUGCGAGUGAAGCGGGAAAAGCUCAAAUUUAAAAUCUGGCGGUCUCUGGCCGUCCGAGUUGUAAUCUAGAGAA
Molecule: unclassified non-coding RNA, 819 nt
Filed under: uncultured Hymenogaster
Lineage: Eukaryota; Fungi; Basidiomycota; Agaricomycetes; Agaricales; Hymenogastraceae
Description: sequence contains ITS1, 5.8S rRNA gene and ITS2
Rfam family: 5.8S ribosomal RNA (bases 287-440)
Source: RNAcentral